Molecule: ribosomal RNA, 253 nt
Filed under: uncultured bacterium
Lineage: Bacteria
Description: partial 16S ribosomal RNA
Rfam family: Bacterial small subunit ribosomal RNA
Source: RNAcentral
UACGUAGGGGGCAAGCGUUGUCCGGAAUCAUUGGGCGUAAAGCGCGUGUAGGCGGUCUGCCAAGUCUGAUGUGAAAGCCCUGGGCUCAACCCAGGAAGUGCGUCAGAUACUGGUGGACUGGAGUGGCGGAGAGGAUGGCGGAAUUCCCGGUGUAGCGGUGAAAUGCGCAGAUAUCGGGAGGAACACCUAUGGCGAAGGCAGCUCGCUGGGACGUUACUGACGCUGAGACGCGAAAGCGUGGGGAGCAAACAGG